AACGAACGCUGGCGGCAGGCUUAACACAUGCAAGUCGAGCGCCCCCGCAAGGGGAGCGGCGCACGGGUGAGUAACGCGUGGGAACCUGUCCUGUAGUGGGGAACAACCCCGGGGGAAACCCGGGCUAAUACCGCAUGAGCACCGCGAGGUGGAAAGACUUCGGUCGCUACAGGAGGGCCCGCGUCGGAUUAGCUAGUUGGUGGGGUAACGGCCUACCAAGGCUUCGAUCCGUAGCUGGUCUGAGAGGAUGAUCAGCCACACUGGGACUGAGACACGGCCCAGACUCCUACGGGAGGCAGCAGUGGGGAAUAUUGGACAAUGGGGGCAACCCUGAUCCAGCCAUGCCGCGUGAGUGAUGAAGGCCUUAGGGUUGUAAAGCUCUUUCGGCGGGGAAGAGUGAUGACGGUACCCGCGAGAAGGAAGCCUCGGCUAACUCCGUGCCAGCAGCGCGGUAAU
Molecule: ribosomal RNA, 456 nt
Filed under: uncultured bacterium
Lineage: Bacteria
Description: bacterial SSU rRNA
Rfam family: Bacterial small subunit ribosomal RNA
Source: RNAcentral